Elaeis guineensis (African oil palm) is the source of this 473-nucleotide long non-coding RNA. RefSeq lists it as uncharacterized. NCBI's taxonomy places the organism in Eukaryota, Viridiplantae, Streptophyta, Magnoliopsida, Arecales, Arecaceae. The record is from RefSeq and is a predicted model, not a curated record.
UUGUUUCCUGCAUACCCUAUCUCUCUUUUUCCAUCUUUUUUUCUUCUUUUUCUUCUUCUUGCUCUUCCUUUUCUUUUCUGUUUUCUACUUCUUUGAUGUGGUUGCUAUUCUGAGGUUCUCUUUCUGAUCAAUUUAUGGGUUUAAUCCAAGCCAGCUUAUGAACGAGGCCGUGGACCGAAAGACGUUGGAUGGUCUCCACAGCUAGUGGUAGCUGUGCGGACUUAAGACUGUAAAUUGCCACACACCUAGAAAUAAAAGUUAAAAGAAAGGGGAAGAUAUGCAGCUACUUCUGCUGGGUUCUGCAAGAAGUUAGGGACUGUGUGAUGGUUUGUAAGUAUUCUUCUGCAUGGUUGUGGAAGGUGGAGACUGACUGACAUAAAUCUUCUGCUGCUGCUUCUGAUAUCCUUAGUCGGAUUCAUUUGAACUUUCUAAGAAUGAUUAAAUGGUUAAGGAAUAUGCGAUUAAUGUUGGUA